GAGAUUGUCUGGAGAAGAGGAGAGGGAGGGACAGGCUUCCUUUACUACUGGCUUCACCUCUAACCACAGGAAAAAUUUUCCACCGUUUCCAUUAUUUCUGGCAUGAAGCCACACAGAGAGAAAAGAGACUUUCUGUGGAAAGGAGAGAUGGAGUCCAUGAGCAGGAAGUCACCAGUAGAUGACUUGGACUGCUGUGAAGUUAAACUACAGAGGCCUGUUGGUGAAAAAAGGAACCCCAAAAACCAGUCCUGAAGAAAAUGGAGUCAUGGGGGAAAAUAACACGUGGAAGAUGCCUGACUUCAAGCAACACCUAGCCCAGAGGCCUGGAUGGGGUGGAAGUGCCAGAAGUGAAUACCUACAGAGAAGAGAACCCAGUGGUGCCAAGAGGGAUGAGAAAGCAGAGAAAAGGAUGCCCUCCCCACCAGCAGUACCCAGGCAACUAUAAUCAAGGAAUUCAUCACUAGCAACUACCAAGAAUAUUAGAGGUAGCAGGUACAAAAUCACAUUCAAUUAUAAAAAUGCACUGUUUUGUAGCCAUUUCUAUUAGGUUUCCAUUAUUAUCUUUUGUGGCCAUAAGUCCCCUGAAUCCCACAGAGCUAAAAUCAAGAUGUCAGUUGGGC
This 620-nucleotide long non-coding RNA is filed under the name Fukomys damarensis (Damara mole-rat). Its description in RNAcentral is "lncRNA (ENSFDAG00000029424.1)". Lineage: Eukaryota; Metazoa; Chordata; Mammalia; Rodentia; Bathyergidae. The record is from RNAcentral.